Molecule: long non-coding RNA, 11260 nt
Organism: Cygnus olor (mute swan)
Lineage: Eukaryota; Metazoa; Chordata; Aves; Anseriformes; Anatidae
Exons: 9
Source: RefSeq, a predicted model, not a curated record
AUUAAAAGAAACUUUUUAGGUAGGUAAGUAAUUUUGGUCUUAUUUUACAAGAGAGUUAGCUAAAUGCUCAGAACUACAAGGAGCAUGGCUAAAAGAGGUGAAGUUAGAACCCAUUAUGUUUUGAAAUCUAGAUGAGCACAAAAGCACAUCUGUUUCUUAUGAGGUGUGGGUGGGUAAAGCAAAGCACACAGGCCUGUCAGAUCUGAUAAGCCUCCACUAUGGUGUAAAGAGCAUCAGUACGAUGUAGCCUGGAUAUCCAGAUCAAACUGAUCCACUUCUCCCUAUCUUUCUCAGGUGUUGAAACAGGUCUGUUUUGUUAAUGUGUUCUUUUAACAGUUUUGUUCAGAACAAUCAGAAGACCAAACAACAAACACUGUAUUGGCUAGAAGCACUCAGAACUAUUUUACUGAUGGUAUUAAUAUUGAUAACUAAUUUGUGGCAAACACACAUGUAAUGUGCAAGAAAUUUGUAGGUUUUAAAAUAGGUAUAAUAUGCAAUCUUUUAAAUCUCAGAUUGACUUACCUGAACUGACUGUCAUAUAUUGUACUUAACUGAAUUGCUUUUACUAUGCCAGCAAUACAUAUUCCUACAAUACCCUUUCUUCUUGACCAGUCACUGAAUGAAAAACCCAAUUCACUUUGGCAUUCAGAGCUCCCUUAAUAUUUCUGCAGUGAAAGAGCUAUGUUUUUUUCUGUUUCAUGAAACUGAAAGCCACAAGGCUAUGUUCCCCAUGGACUUGCUCUCACAGUUGUACUGAAAUCCAUCAAAGGACACCCAUCAUAGGAGUGUACAAAGUACCAUGUUAUUGAUGCAAUCUAUCCAUCUGCCAGUCAUGCUAAUGAACAUCUGCAAUAGUACCAUUGGGAAUACUUCAGGAACAGGGCAAGUUUGAAAAAAUGAAAUACACUUCAUGGCAGUUUUUGGAAGAACUCAUUUCAGCUUACAUCAAUAGUAACAUACUUUGCCUCAAAUGAAAUACACUUGUGAAAAUUCACUUAGAUGAUGUUUUUCUCCAGUGUAGAAAGUUUUGAUGGAAAAUUUUGUGUCUGUAUUUCUGAGUCUUAUACUACCAUAUAAAUAUCUCCUCAGCAAACAUUACUUAAAAUUACUAGAAAACAGUAAUAAAAUAUUCUCAUCUAUACAUAAUAACAGAUGGAAAAGGCUUGUCCAAUUUACUGAUUCACACAGAUAAAUCACCCAAGCCUUUCAAGAAUUUGGGCACCAAAACUUUAGAAAUGAAUUUUAUUGGCUAAUGUGAAAUUAAAAACUCUGAGAAAGGACCUUUAUAGGAAAUUCUGAAAAACAAAAAAGCAAACAAACAAAAACAAACAAACAAACAAACAACAGUAUGUAAAGUAGACUGUUGUGUCCUUGAACCCGAAUCAAUGACAAUUUGGAUCAAAAAUAAAUAAAUAAACAAACCAUGAUACCAAAGGUUAGUCCAACUUUCUCCUAAGCUGGGUUGCCCUUCUGACACCCCCAUCCUCAAAGCCCACAUCCUAAAUCACCUUUUCUAAAGGUGAUUAAUUUCCCUUAUAAUUUCCAUAAGUCAUGGAAGCAUAUUAGUUGUCCAACAGCAUUAACAGAGUGAUGUGUUUGGACCAAAACCUCCUAUCACAUGAUAUUUCUAAUUAUCCUAUUGUCAAAAGCUAAUCUUCGGUGUUUUGCCUUUCAGAAGUGCUUAUGACAUAUCUGGUUACUGACACAAUGCAGUGGAACAAUACACAAUGCUACUCUCUUUUUUUUCAGAGUUCUGCUAAUAAACCAUGUCCACUGAAAAAAUAACAGGGAAUGUAUGCACCCCAGAUGCAGUUACACCUCAGAUGACCAAGCAGAACCACAGAGCAUGGCAUUGCACUGCUUAUUGGUGGGAUAGAGUCUGAGUGCUGUCUCAGCAUUGGUAUUUCCCCAGAGGACUGAAUCACACACAUCACAAUUACUGAUUUAAGCCAGAGCCAUCUUAAGGCUCUCUGUAUUGUUCCUUGGUAUGGCUGCUGAAGAUCACAGCGAGAAAAACUUGGUAUCACUGACAAACUCAAGAAUUUUUCAUGUUUGUUUAAAAUCAGCAAAUGUGACUACCCAGAGCUAGAAGUUGGAUAUGAGGGGAUGAUUCCCCCUGAAUUUGCUCUCCUUUCCUUGAGUGAAUGAAUGAGUGAGUGGGUGUGUGUUCCUAUCAUUCCCUGCUUUCUCAUUUUGUGGUUUUGACUUAACUUGAGCACGCAAAAGGCAAACUAAUGGCUACCUGUGAUGGGCUGAAGCAAUGCUCCAAACAGACUGUUUUCCAGGGUAUUGUCUAGGCAUGAUUCCUCAUUUUCUACUGUUUGAAAAGCUGUCACGUCAUGUCCUGAAGAAUCUGCAGAAGAAAUGCUGGUCUGGCUCCCACAUGAAGAUUUGGCCAGGCUCCCAAGUGUGAGACUAAAGCUUGUUUUGCUGUCUGCUGCGUGUACCCAGAGUGACAGGAAAACUGGUGGUAUGCUGGGGACAUCCUGAAGAAAGGGAGACUUGAAGCCAGCUGCACUGGUGGGAACUAGUGAUGGCUUCAACUUGGCAGAAAACUCAAGAAUUCUACAACUGAAUCCUUGAAAGUGGAGAUCCAAGGACAGACCCAUGGCCUCUGGUCCACUCUCCACUGCCAGUUAUGUUCCUUUUUGCCUUCUACCUCCUUGUUGUGGCACUGGGGUCCUUCUACAUGCGUAACCAGAAACUGCUGAAGCUGCGAGGUCUGCUGGUUGCCUACAAUCUAUCCAUGAUGAUGUUAUCAAGUUACAUGUUUUAUGAGUUUCUGGUAACUUCAGUCUUGGAUGACUACAGCUACCUGUGCCAGCCCGUGGAUAAUAGCCGAAGUGAGCUAGGAAUGAGGGUCUAACAGCGUUUCCUUGUGAUAUCCGGCAGAUGGCAAGAGUGUGUUGGUGGUUCUUCUUCUCCAAAGUCAUCGAGCUGCUUGAUAUGGUUUUCAUUAUUCUGCGCAAGAAACAAGAACAGGUGACUUUUCUGCAUGUGUAUCAUCACGGCACUAUGCUGUUCAACUGGUGGUCGGGGUGAAAUACGUGCCUGGAGGACAAGCUUUCUUUAUUGGGAUGCUAAACUCCUUUGUACACAUCUUCAUGUAUGGCUAUUAUGCCCUGGCCAGCCUGGGACCACAGAUGCACUGUUACCUGUGGUGGAAGCGUUACCUAACCAUCAUGCAGCUGUGCCAGUUUGUGGCCAUUGCUGUUCAUUCUUUCUACAACCUCUUCACAGAAUGCCCGUUCCCUGAUGGUUUCAACAUUGCAGUCUUCCUUUACAUUCUCAGCCUCAUUGCUCUCUUCCUACGCUACUACUAUUGGACGUAUACUAGGGGAAAGAAGAAGAAGCUAACUUAAAGAAAACCAAAGAGGAGAGUGAGCAUAUUUGCAAAUUCUCUGCUGCUUCUGUCAUGAUUGCAUGAAGAAAAAAUGUAUUUGGGGAGUGUAUGUGAGGCUCUUGUGUGCAAACCCUUGGUUGCCUUCAAAUAUUUCGAGUUAGGAAGAGAAAAGGAACAACAUAAACUCAAGAGUUAAGAUAUUAAUGAGCUCACUUACUUGAAGCUGGUACAAAGCCAAGCCACAUAGUCAUCAAUACAGAAGUCUUUGUGAAAUUCGCACCAGAAGAGCUCCACUUUCCGUUCCAUCUGUCAGCAUGGUUUGCAAAGUCUAUCAUUCAACCAUGACUCCUUGACUCAUUUCUGUAGAGUUUCUUUCCAUUCCUAAGACCAUCUCAGCUUACCAUUGUAGAUCAGGCAGGCUCAGGUGCCUCCAGCCUCAAAGCAGUGUCCGUGUGACAGCAGCAGCCAGGAAUUACUGUAAUUGUGGGAUGCACUCACCUGUACACUUCACCCCAGCCUUUCCUAUUGAGGAAAUUUCCAGUAGGACUGGGAUGAAUUACAGCUAUAUGGCCCUUAUGGUUUCACUUUAUGUUAGUGUAACCAUGAAGGAAACUGGAUAUUACUUUGUCCAACCAAACAGCUGCCUCUGUUCUUCUUUCACUGUUCUGAAGCUAAAGAUGGCAUUAUUGUCUCUAAUCUGUCACACAAGCCUUUCCAUCCUGACUAGGAAACUAAUGUAGUAAGAAUCAUAAUGUAACACUUUCUGGAAUGCUUAUUUGCCUUUUGUUGCUUUCAUAUCAUUAGAGAAGUUUUCAUGCAUGAGGACUAUUUGGUAUUGCUUGCUAUAGAUGCCAUAUUUUUGAAUAAGAAGAAUAAACUGAGGCUCUGCAUUCAUAACUUUUUUUUCCUAUUUGUUAUUACUAUUAUUAUUUCAAACUUUUGUCUCUUAUCAAAGAUGAAAAGUUUUCCACCACCUUAAGCAAUAACUUUCACUACCAAAUUGUAUGAGUAUUAAUACAAAAUUUAUGAAGUCAACUCACUGGCUAGUGCAAAGCUGCAUAGCUCCAGUGACUUUAUUGAUUCAUUUGUUGGCUCCUUUUUUGCUCCUAAAUCAAUUAGAACUAGAGUUUGGCACUUCCAUUCAUCUGUAGACAGUUAAGUAAUUUUAAAAAUUUGGUCCUGAAAAUCUAAAAUUCAGUUUUUAAACUAUGAAUUUGUAUUUAUUUAUUCCAUUCUACUUUUUUGAUUAAAAAUAGUGAUUUAAAAAUAGUGAUUUUUUUUUCACAGUUGAAAUGCAAAGUUCUUAAAGCCAAAUUCACAUCAAAUAUAAAAAAGUCUGUCUUUUAUGGAAAAGUCCAGGGAGGUAAUCUACUGCCUACAUGGGUGCAUACAAAAAAAACCUGCACAUUUUACAUCAAUUUGGAACUUACUGGCUAUCCAAAAUAAAUGCUACUUGUUCAUCACUGAUAUGUGUGUGCAUAUGCCAGACUUUUCCCUUAGCUGCUACAUUCACAUUUGUAAGAUAAAUUAGUAUUCUUCCAUUCCUUGUCCUCCUUCUUCACACACAAUGAUUCUAUGCUAUUACCACAAUCAUACAUUAUAAAUGUAAUUCCAUUGAUUUGAGUAUUCUGAUUUUCAUUGGUGAAUAUGAAAAGCAAAUCAGGCCUUAUUUCAAUCUGUGUGUUAGCUGUUCUUCCUGCCAAAUAUUUCUCUCUGCUACUUCUUAUAUGAAUUAUGCUGCUUUUUCAUACUAUAAUGCAACUGUUGUUAAAGCUUUAAAUGAUAAACCUCUGGGUGAGUCCUCGGUUCUUCUCUUUGUUUGGUGAAGCAGGAAAAAUAAACCUGCUGUGUAUCUAACAUACUGUAUUCACGGUCAAGGUUCCCCAAGAGGCCUCUCUAGCACUGAAGAUUGGUGCAAGUAAAGCUCUUUUAUUGUUUUUAUCCACUUAGCGAUUCACUUAUGUCUGUGUCCGGCAGUACACUUGGCCCCAUAGUUUCAUGGUAGAGCAUAACUCUUCCUGCAGCUGGAUAUAUUAUCCAUGCUUACAAACAAAUCUAAUGAAUUUAGCUCUUUUUCCUAUAUGUGAAGGAUCAUGAACAGAUCUUGAGCUGAUUUUCCUCUCCCAUAAGCUUUCUCAGAUUUCAAGGGCUAAUGGUUCUGAUUUCAAAGGUUACUAAUUUCAAGGGCAUCACUAAUAAUUUUAUUCCAGAGUUGGCAUAAAACAUUUUGUUAUUCUUUGACUCAUUAAUAAUUCAUGACUGCUUAGAAAGUAGAAAUUAGAUGGAAAUUUGGAUAAGAUUACUCAACACUUUUGCAAAUCUACUCCUUAAAAACAAACAAACAACAACAACAAAACCAUAACUUUUUAUUGUUGUUGUUUUAAGCAGUGCAUGCAGAUUAAUUUGUGUAUGUCAGAGCUUACUGCAAUGGAUUCUAGACUGUGACUGGCUGCAUAGUUAAUGAUAAAAUGCAAAGGAAUGAAUCUGCCACUUGGUAGCUUGUAGUAAGUGACCAAGCACCCAACACACAUGGCUGUAACUGUUUGUCCUAGACAAGUAACCUCUGAUCUAUCCAUACCUGUCCUUCUUCCUUAGCCUGGGUGAGUGGCCUGAUCUUGCACUUCUGAACAGGUAGGAACAUUUUGUCAGUGUGAUUUCAGUGGGCAUAGGAUGAAAAUGAAGUUAUUUUCAUUUGGGUGAUAAGGAAGGAUUAAGUUUGCCCAGAAACAUCCUGCUUUGCAUACUUAAAUGGAUGUUUAUGUAGAGCACAACUAUUGCAAAAGCAUCAACACAAACAAAAUUCACUUGUGAGACUACUUGCUUUAACAGGGAAGAUAAAGUUGCAUAGGUAUAACCUUCUGGCUCUUCAGGUCAUAAUUCUUUCCUCUUUUAGAUUGCAUUCCUUUGUCUUCAUUCUUCUAUUUGAAAUUGGGAUAUCUGAGUUGGUACUGUCCACUUGCUGUUGUGACAAAAGCAAAAAGCUGAGAGUACAGGUACACGCCUCUGGAAUUUAAAAGAGAAUAAAGGCACAGAAUGAGAUUUCCCCUCUAAGCUAAGUCCCUAGAGUUAAAGAUUACAUCACAGUAAUGCACUGUAAGUCACAAGGGCUGGAAAUUACAAAUUGCAAGUCUGGAUGAUUCAUACUGUCUGGCAGAGUCCAACACUUUGAGGCUGAAUUGGAAAUAUCCUGUUGCAGCUGGAUUUAUACAAACCAUUGGGCUAAAUGCUGAUCCCACCAAUAUCAAUGACAAAGCCUGCAGACUUCGCUGGAAACAAGAUGGCACAGCUGUGUGAAAAACAAUGCACUCAGCUACAUAGUGUUGUUUUGGUGUGAGCAGACUCGAGUGAUAUUCAAGCUCAAUGGAUGACUUUCAAGGGCACAGUUGUGUGCAGGCAUCUCCCUUGUAAAAUGUGGGUCAUUAUACCUCCUUGGAGCAGUUUGCACUCACAAGAUGUAAAGCAUAAUGUAAGUAGUCUGUUUAAAUGAAUAAGCCUGAUAUAUGGUAGUGCUCAACAUCUUUCCUACUGUUCAAGUCAAUGUAAAUUAUGGAUGUUUUGAUAAAAUUACUUUCAAAUUAACCAGAUCACUUACUCAGUGCUUACUUUCUCUUGGAAGAUAAAUGAGAGGGAUUCUAAUUUUAAUUGAAACAAAUUUAAAAAAAAAAAAAAAGAAAGAAAGAAAGAAAAUCAAUUGCUAUUUAAUGUUUUUUCCAUCAGUGUGUGAUGGAAAGUUUCCAGAAGAAUUUACGUUUAAAAUUGCAUAACCAUAUAAAAGUCUGGAAUGUGAUUGGGUUUUAACUAUUGGAGUGUUUUUGGAUGCUAUCAGAAAAUAUGUCAGUGUAUAUUAAAAAAAAAAAAAAAAAGCAGAAUUACUCUAAACAAUCAAUUAAGCAAAAGCAGGAUGCCUUAGAUUGCUUUGUACAAUAAAUAAAAAUCUGUUGAUACAGAUAUAAGACACCUCCAAGCUAAACAUUAAAAAAAAAUCAGCUGAUACUAUAUAUAGAAGAGUGUGAAUUUGUUGAAUUCAUUAAUGAAUAACUUCAUGGAUUAGGCCUUGAUAGAUGAAGUGCUCGCAUCCAGAUGUUUAGUGUGAUUUGUCAAUGGUCUUGUACUUAAUCCUCCUGAACAGGAAAUAAGAGUCUUUUCUCUGGGGUCUCCCUUGGGGACUGUGGCAGUCUCUCUGUCAUACGCUCUCUCUCUGGCCUGAAUCAUCACAACAGAGGAUCAGGCUGCUGGGGAAUUAACCAAGUGGAGGAGGCUCAGAUUUGCCUUUAACCCUUUCAUUUUCUUCUCUGCUUUGGGUGGCCUCCUCACCAUAUGACAUGAUGGGAAUGUUAUUUAGUCCAUACAUGGAGAUAAAAACGUGGAGUUGCCCAUGUUGUCCCACAAGGUGCAUUUGUGGGAUCCCUGUCCCCACAAAAUGUGUCGAAGCUCACAUGCCUAGUUCUACCACCACUGAAGGGUGGGGCUGUGGGCAGAUCAAGCCUGUGGAGGCUGCUGGAUGUGUAUCCACAUCUCAGGAUUGUAUUUUAAUUUUUGGGAUGCUGCUGCUCCACAGUUGCUGUCAGUGAUAGAGUUGGCCCAGGAGGGAGUGCUUGUGAAAGGUCAGGAUGUCUCCAAGGUGUCCCCAGCCAAGUAUGCCAGAACAUGCAUAGCACAUGUGUGUCUGCAUAUGGGUAGAUGAAUGCAGCAUCUUCAGACUGCCUCCAUUUCUGAUCUCUCUACAUGUAAAACCCCCAACAUAGGACAGGUCAUUCAUUUCUCAGGAAGGCACCAUCCUGCAGUGUAUGAGCAUCCUACUGAACGACAGCUCCCAGAAGCUACUCCUGCUGCAUAAUAGUGGUGCUCAUCAGCCCAUGACAACUUGGAUCAGCCAGCUGCAUCUAUCUCAGUACCUCAGAGAAGGGAAAGGCCAGAGCUAGCAUGAAUAUACAUCAUAUGCAGGCCAAGCUGAUGAGGUAAAGAAAUUACAGACAUCUCAUGUGUGGUGCACAUGACUAAACAGGUCGGAGCAUAGUUAUGUGUAAUUCAGGUCCCUUGCAGGGUGCUGUGCAGGGCAAAAUGAUAAGGUUCUUCUUUUAUCCCCAUGGAGAUGUUGCUAAGGGGGCGCUGGGAAUCUCACCUUUAGGGAGAAGACGGAAAAUCUCUAUUUUUGACAGAAUUUCUUCUGCAAAGCUUGUGUGUGCCUCUCAUAGGAACUAGCUGGUAAAGCAGGGAAUCUUGGAAGAAUCUCAGACUAGAUGUGUGGGGGGGGAAGCAACACUAGCAUCACCUCAUUUAGAGGGGAUGACAACAGGCAUCAUGACUGGAUUAGGAGAACUGAGUGGCAGUGGGAACUUCAUGGAAUGGUAAGUUUGGGUGUGGAUGUGCUGGAAUGUAUGGGACUGACUGCACAUGUGCAUGUGUUUAGGGUAAAAAAAUAUUUUUUUUGUUAACUCACCAGUAUAGAGAGAAGUAAAUUCUUUGUCAGAGAAUACCUGGUUAUAACAUCAGUAGCACAGCACUUGGUAUGUCCCACUAGUCUUGUGUCAUAUUUUCUCUCAAUAUUUUUGCUUUCUGCUGUUUGGGCUGCUCUUCAAGAAAGUGUUAGUAGUCAUUUCAUCACACUCAGAAAAUUAGGAAUGCUUAUUUAGCAUUGCCGUUUGAAAUUUGUUGCUUGGAGUAGAUGUUUCUUCCCCUUUAACAUUAUCCUCCCACUUUCUCCUCACCCUUUCCUCCCCUCUUCCCUUGCACCCACAUAUACAGAUAGCAUCCUAAAUUGUCAGAAUUGUUAGAGCUGCAAAGAAUGUAGAUAUAUUCUACUUAAACUAAACAGAGCAGCUGUGUUUUCCUGCUAUAUCAAUUAAUAAUGUACAUUUUCUUCAUCAGGUUUUCAGUAAGGCUUUCAGUAAGAUGAAAGUGAGCAAGUCUGUCUUUUUCUUAGCACUUCAGCAUAAUCCCAUCUGCUUGCAAAUUCAGGAUGUGAACACUGCAACACAACAUUGAAAAGGGCUAGAAACUUGGUCUUUAAUCAGGGUAGCAUAAUUCAGAGUAAUCUCUCCCAGGCAUCAUUGAAGUGCAGCUCCCUCUUGUUGAUGAAGGAAUGGGAGAAUGGAUACAUCAGUCUGAGAAGCAGCAAGAAGCAGCCCUUUUUUUCUGCCCACAGAGUCAUCUCUCCUAGGAUGAAUUCCUCAAAAGGCCGUCUGCCACAGCACUGAAGAUAGGGGAAUUUUUGAAAGUAUCUCUAGGAGUGGGAGGUGAAAUGUGGAAACAGGACUGAGAAUGGAUGUGGGUUUCUAUGAGGGAUGCUUGAAAGUGUGGGAGAGGGUUAGCAUACAUAUGUUCCUCUAGGUGGUUGGUUUGGUUGUGGGAGCCUGCAGACACUGGUCUCAUGCAAUGACAGGUCAUGUAAAUUGAAGGUGGUUGCACGCAAAGACUAAAUAUCACCCUUGUGGGGUGAGUUCCCUGAGAGGGGGUUUUGCAGAUGGAGAGAGGGCAGGUGUGUAUGUUUGAACACAUGCAGGAACAGCACACUGGAUGAAAAACCUAUAGAGUUGAGGGAACAAGCACAGGUGCUGUCAAGUCACCUGGUUUUUGUUGUGUUACUGAUAAUAUUAUUGUGCAGAUGAAAGCACAGCCGAGUGUCUGUGGAUGCCUGUGAUUUGGCUCUGUGAUAGAGACGUAUUCACUGAGAAGAAUCCAAAGGUGUUUGUUGUGAUGGCCAGGCACUGCAGCUCCUGGGGUGCAACUUAUUAAUUCCAAUUAGCAUUGCCUCUGGGAGAUCCAUGUGAACUUGUCUAGGGAUGUUUCCUCUUUAAAUAAAAGACUAGUCCCGAGGCAAGGUUUAGAGGGGAAAUAUCUUGCAUUACAGGAGCUGACAUAGCUAGAAAAGCAGGCUAGUUUCCAGCGUGCAAGACCUUCCUUCAGUUAUCAUCCCUGAUAUGCAAUGGUAACAGGUCAGCUGUUAUUUGUCAGGGUGCACAGGUGUGCCUGUAUUUAUUGCAGAGUUUGCCAGUUCCAAAGGGUAUUAUAAUACACUUUAGCAGUCUGAUACAUUCCUAUAAAUCAGAGGCCCAUUAUUUUCAAAGGGCUGCUCUAGAAAACAUGUCUGUAAUUUUGCUUCUAGGAAUUACUCAUGUGAGUAAAGUGGUCCUUUACUUCACCUACACAAUGGCAUAAUAGGACAGUGAUUCUGUGCUCAGAUCUUAGAGGUACAUUACAGAACACGACCAUGUCAUAGACAAAUUAUCACUUACAAUAAUCAUUCAAAUUAAUCCUGGUUUUCUAUUUUGGUGUGGUUUCUAGUAUCUUUGGGCAUAUUUCAUAUACAGAGGUAAUGGAUUAAAUUAAGUGAAAACCCAUUAAUCCCAGUGAAUCUAGGUAAAGUGUUUGAUGGAUCUACGAGUACUACCACAAGGAUUCAAUAAAAAUGUCUCUGCAAUGAUACCACCUGAAAGGCAAAGUGUUUUUUCACUUAAUAUUUCCUACACUUGGUGUUGUCAGAAACCCAGAAACUCUAGAAGACUGUAUGUAUACGUUUUAAUCCUACACUAUUGUGUACAUAUUUAGAAUAUUUUCUGGUAGACCUUGCAUAGAAUAGAUAAACUCGCGGUUUGAAUAGAGAAAAUAAGAUCUUAGCAUUGAUUGUAUUACUGAACUGUAAUUGAAGUCGUCUUAUCAUAUAAAGCUGCUUCAAUUCAUUUUCUCUAAUAAAAUGUGCGUCUAUUGAAACGUAUCAGCCUUGGAUGUGCGUUUAAGGAUGCAUCACGGGGAAAGCAUGGUCCCAGACUGCAAUUACUAACAUUGUUUUCCGCUGGCUUUAGAAACACCCUUUGGAGCUGCAUGGUGAGGGAGAGGGGGAGGCUGGGGAGCAAAGCAAAACAAAGCAAAGCAUCCCCAUUCCCUUUCUUUGUUCUCAAUGCGCUGGAGGAGCGGGCG